This 253-nucleotide ribosomal RNA is filed under the name uncultured bacterium. Its description in RNAcentral is "partial 16S ribosomal RNA". It matches the Rfam family "Bacterial small subunit ribosomal RNA", at positions 524 to 776 of the family's 1533-position model. The record is from RNAcentral.
UACGGAAGGGGCAAGCGUUGUUCGGAAUCAUUGGGCGUAAAGGGCGCGUAGGUGGUUCUGUAUGUCUACCGUGAAAGCGUACGGCUCAACCGUAUUUUGCCGGUGGAAACUGCAGGACUUGAGGCUGGGAGGGGCUGGUGGAAUUCCCAGUGUAGCGGUGAAAUGCGUAGAUAUUGGGAGGAACACCAGUGGCGAAGGCGGCUCACUGGACCGGAACUGACGCUGAGGCGCGAAAGCGUGGGGAGCAAACAGG